RNAcentral lists this long non-coding RNA (295 nucleotides) under Vigna radiata. Its description in RNAcentral is "long non-coding RNA (VRAD_LNC000731)". Lineage: Eukaryota; Viridiplantae; Streptophyta; Magnoliopsida; Fabales; Fabaceae. The record is from RNAcentral.
UUAGAUCAUAUUGUGAGGCCUGCACAAAAAUUCUAGAGAGAGAUUGUUGGUAGAAAAAUAAAAAUAAGAAAAAUAAAAAUUAGGGACUGAAAAAUAAAAAUGGAAAAAUAAAAAUAAGAGAAUAAUAAAAAAUAAAGUCAAAAUUAAUCAAGAAUCACACAAAUAGAAUAACUUAAACCGUGAGUCCCUGGCAACGGCGCCAAAAACUUGUUGGGGCAAAUCGACAAGUGUACCGAGUCGCACAAGUAAUAUAAAAUGGUAAGACCAAGUAUCGUAUCCCAGAGGAAUCUCGACG